RNAcentral lists this ribosomal RNA (616 nucleotides) under uncultured Burkholderiales bacterium. RNAcentral's name for it is "bacterial SSU rRNA". It matches the Rfam family "Bacterial small subunit ribosomal RNA", at positions 61 to 670 of the family's 1533-position model. The record is from RNAcentral. Lineage: Bacteria; Pseudomonadati; Pseudomonadota; Betaproteobacteria; Burkholderiales.
GUCGGACGGUAGCAGGUCCUUCGGGAUGCUGACGAGUGGCGAACGGGUGAGUAAUGUAUCGGAACGUGUCUGGUAGUGGGGGAUAACACAUCGAAAGAUGUGCUAAUACCGCAUACGACCUUAGGGUGAAAGCAGGGGACCUUUCGGGGCCUUGCGCUAUUGGGGUGGCCGAUAUCGGAUUAGCUUGUUGGUGGGGUAAAGGCCUACCAAGGCGAUGAUCCGUAGCUGGUUUGAGAGGACGACCAGCCACACUGGGACUGAGACACGGCCCAGACUCCUACGGGAGGCAGCAGUGGGGAAUUUUGGACAAUGGGGGCAACCCUGAUCCAGCCAUUUCGCGUGUGUGAUGAAGGCCUUCGGGUUGUAAAGCACUUUUGGCGGGGAAGAAACGGCGGGCUCUAAUACAGCUUGCUAAUGACGGUACCCGCAGAAUAAGCACCGGCUAACUACGUGCCAGCAGCCGCGGUAAUACGUAGGGUGCGAGCGUUAAUCGGAAUUACUGGGCGUAAAGGGUGCGCAGGCGGUUUGGCAAGAGAGAUGUGAAAUCCCGGGGCUUAACCUCGGAACUGCAUUUUUAACUGCCAGACUAGAGUGUGUCAGAGGGGGGUGGAAUUCC